CUGGCUCAGGACGAACGCUGGCGGCGUGCUAAUACAUGCAAGUCGAGCGGACAGAUGGGAGCUUGCUCCUUGAUGUCAGCGGCGGACGGGUGAGUAACACGUGGGUAACCUGCCUGUAAGACUGGGAUAACUCCGGGAAACCGGGGCUAAUACCGGAUGCUUGAUUGAACCGCAUGGUUCAAUUAUAAAAGGUGGCUUUUAGCUACCACUUACAGAUGGACCCGCGGCGCAUUAGCUAGUUGGUGAGGUAACGGCUCACCAAGGCAACGAUGCGUAGCCGACCUGAGAGGGUGAUCGGCCACACUGGGACUGAGACACGGCCCAGACUCCUACGGGAGGCAGCAGUAGGGAAUCUUCCGCAAUGGACGAAAGUCUGACGGAGCAACGCCGCGUGAGUGAUGAAGGUUUUCGGAUCGUAAAACUCUGUUGUUAGGGAAGAACAAGUACCGUUCGAAUAGGGCGGUACCUUGACGGUACCUAACCAGAAAGCCACGGCUAACUACGUGCCAGCAGCCGCGGUAAUACGUAGGUGGCAAGCGUUGUCCGGAAUUAUUGGGCGUAAAGCGCGCGCAGGCGGUUUCUUAAGUCUGAUGUGAAAGCCCCCGGCUCAACCGGGGAGGGUCAUUGGAAACUGGGGAACUUGAGUGCAGAAGAGGAGAGUGGAAUUCCACGUGUAGCGGUGAAAUGCGUAGAGAUGUGGAGGAACACCAGUGGCGAAGGCGACUCUCUGGUCUGUAACUGACGCUGAGGCGCGAAAGCGUGGGGAGCGAACAGGAUUAGAUACCCUGGUAGUCCACGCCGUAAACGAUGAGUGAUAAGUGUUAGAGGGUUUCCGCCCUUUAGUGCUGCAGCAAACGCA
RNAcentral lists this ribosomal RNA (859 nucleotides) under Bacillus haynesii. RNAcentral describes it as "bacterial SSU rRNA". It matches the Rfam family "Bacterial small subunit ribosomal RNA", at positions 19 to 859 of the family's 1533-position model. The record is from RNAcentral. Lineage: Bacteria; Bacillati; Bacillota; Bacilli; Caryophanales; Bacillaceae.